Molecule: long non-coding RNA, 643 nt
Filed under: Gallus gallus (chicken)
Lineage: Eukaryota; Metazoa; Chordata; Aves; Galliformes; Phasianidae
Description: lncRNA (ENSGALG00010022947.1)
Source: RNAcentral
UGACAGUGGAGAUGAUGAGUUUAAUGUUUGAAGUUCUCUUUUACAGUGGCUGCACUCCCACUCAAAGCAGGUUACAGGAUAAACUCUCAAGAGCGGGGAGGUACUUUAAAAGAGUAAUUGGUCUGAGUUGGUAUCAUUUUGCAGCAGGUCUGAGAGAUGUCAAGUGUUCGUUGCAUUCUGCUGACACCCCCUGGUGCCAUUACCAAGCAAGGGCAAAGACUCAUAGCUCCCUGGUCCCCAGCUUGUCUCAGCUAUGGGAGGAAGAAGCCACUUGAUUUGAAUACUGAAGAGUUAAGAGCCAGACCAGAUGGCAAGGGAAAAAGACACAGGAGUGACAGGAAGCAGCUUCAAGUCUGUGGCUGGUGGGGAGGAAGAGAAAAUGUGCCUUUCUUUUUUAUUAUUUUAACUCUCAUGUAUCUGAAAAAUGUCUCAGUGUGUCCUCCGAGAGACUGGGGUGUUUCCCACUUGUCUGCGAAAAAUAUGCCGUGGAGAUGAUGUAGCAAAAUACGUGCAUAGUGUGGUAAAAUAUAUUUUAAAGUCCAGGGAAACAGUCAUCUCAAACUAAUGAUCAUCCUGAAUUGGCCACUCACUUCUGGUACUGACUAAGCAAUAGACUUAAAUCUCAUUUAAAAAUAAGCAUAUG